Nicotiana sylvestris (wood tobacco) is the source of this 107-nucleotide non-coding RNA. The record is from Rfam. NCBI's taxonomy places the organism in Eukaryota, Viridiplantae, Streptophyta, Magnoliopsida, Solanales, Solanaceae.
AUAUCAUGGUGUGGACAUUUUCUUAACAAUACUUUUAACCUUUCUCAAGCUUGACAAACUGACUGUGUGUCAGUUUGCAAGAAAUUAGAUAUGUCUUGUCUUAAAUU